RNAcentral lists this small RNA (587 nucleotides) under Pan troglodytes (chimpanzee). RNAcentral's name for it is "retained intron". Lineage: Eukaryota; Metazoa; Chordata; Mammalia; Primates; Hominidae. The record is from RNAcentral.
AUGAAAUUAAGGCUGCUGCACUUAACGUGCUAAGUGGAUAAUGCCAGAGAUUACACAAUAGGCCAAAUAAUUCAGGGAAAGACGGUCUGGGGGCAGUGUCAGUAUUCUCUGCAAAAGAAGCUAAUAAUGUAUCUCUUCUCCUAGGCUUCCAGACAGUUCGUGUUGGGACAGUGGGCACCCCUGUGGGCACCAUCACUCUUUCUUGUGCUUACAGAAUUAACUUGGCAUUCAUGUCUACCAGGCAAUUUGAGAGGACCCCACCUAUCAUGGGGAUUAUUAUUGAUCACUUUGUGGACCGUCCCUAUCCCAGCUCCUCUCCCAUGCACCCCUGCAAUUACAGAACUGCUGGUGAGGACACUGGAGUAAUAUACCCAUCUGUAGAAGACUCUCAAGAAGUGUGUACCACCUCUUUUUCCACCUCCCCACCAUCCCAGUGUGUGUUUACUGUCACAAAGGCACAUUUUCAGACCCCUACUCCUGUGGUGACGGACACCCUGAGGGUCCCCAUGGCAGGACUGGCCUUUUCCCAUCAAGUGAGUCCAUAAUGGGAAGAAGGGGGUAUAAUCAGAUGACAUCCUUUUAUUUAA